CUUGCUUGUGCAACGAACUAUUGCCCCAUGUCCCUCCUCAUUCUAGCUACAAAGCGCUUGAAUCAAGCCUUGGGCAUUAGCAUAAUGGUUCCUGUGUUGCCUACCUAAUUUGAUGGAAUUUUCAUUGGAAUGUUGCCUUUCUCCACCUAGCUCUGCUCAUUGGGGGCAAGUGGACCUUGCAAGCGAUCAUUGUGUUCCAUGUCCUCCCCAUGCAUGUGUUAACAUGUGAAGGGGUGUCACAAUGGCCCAUGAUGAUGGCUUGUGCUCUUGGAUGCAGAACCUUAACAUGGGCAUGGGAUCUAAUGAUCACAUUCUUGCCCAAGCUUAAGCGUUCAUCGCUAGAUGCGUAUGUAUGAUGAUCGGCUCCGCUUUGCCCUCCCGUCACCCUUUGUGGUCUAGGUUAGGUGCAUGCGGUUCCGACGUUGCAUAAGAAUG
RNAcentral lists this unclassified non-coding RNA (435 nucleotides) under Tetrastigma papillosum. Its description in RNAcentral is "partial external transcribed spacer". Lineage: Eukaryota; Viridiplantae; Streptophyta; Magnoliopsida; Vitales; Vitaceae. The record is from RNAcentral.